GAUGAACGCUGGCGGCGUGCCUAACACAUGCAAGUCGAGCGAUUCUCUUCGGAGAAGAGCGGCGGACGGGUGAGUAACGCGUGGGUAACCUGCCCUGUACACACGGAUAACAUACCGAAAGGUACGCUAAUACGGGAUAACGUAAGAGAGUCGCAUGGCUUUCUUAUCAAAGCUCCGGCGGUACAGGAUGGACCCGCGUCUGAUUAGCUAGUUGGUGAGGUAAUGGCUCACCAAGGCGACGAUCAGUAGCCGACCUGAGAGGGUGAUCGGCCACAUUGGAACUGAGACACGGUCCAAACUCCUACGGGAGGCAGCAGUGGGGAAUAUUGCACAAUGGGCGAAAGCCUGAUACAGCAACGCCGCGUGAGCGAUGAAGGCCUUCGGGUCGUAAAGCUCUGUCCUCAAGGAAGAUAAUGACGGUACUUGAGGAGGAAGCCCCGGCUAACUACGUGCCAGCCGCCGCAGUAA
RNAcentral lists this ribosomal RNA (468 nucleotides) under uncultured bacterium. Its description in RNAcentral is "partial 16S ribosomal RNA". It matches the Rfam family "Bacterial small subunit ribosomal RNA", at positions 28 to 523 of the family's 1533-position model. The record is from RNAcentral.